Molecule: long non-coding RNA, 1087 nt
Organism: Drosophila hydei
Lineage: Eukaryota; Metazoa; Arthropoda; Insecta; Diptera; Drosophilidae
Exons: 5
Source: RefSeq, a predicted model, not a curated record
GUGCGUGUGCCUGUGUGUAUGCGUGUGUGUGUAAGUUUAAGUGUGUUAAUUAAUUUACAAAGCCGCUUGCCUCUGGGCUUCAGUGUGCAGUCUUGCAAAUAACAUAUACAAAUUUUUGUGAAUUUGUUGAUUUCGGCAACAAAAAACAAAAUGUUGCGCGUGCUAUAAACAAGUGUGAUUUCCCCUUUGUUCACCACGCGCGCGUCCCACUAAAAAGAAAAGAGCUAACAACAGCUACAAGAGAACAGCAACAACAAUAACGAAGGCAAAGGAAGCGCUGGCGCUUCAUGUACUUGAAAACGAAAGUUCUUUCGCAUGCAAACGGUUGCGCAUAAAAAAACACCAUAACCAUACACUCACACAAACAAGCGCAUACGCCAACACUAUACACAUACACCACGCACACAUCGAGUGCUUGUAAACCGAAGAGCGGGAGACGACAGAACGCAGUAAAAGACAGAGAGGAGGCGCCGUGGCCACUUGGCCUUGAACUUGUGCGGCGCGGGAGCGCAGCGUUUGACUCUUAAUGAAGCAGAAUUUCCACAGACUGCAGCCAUAAUAUAAAGUUACACAACUCGCCGACGUCGCAGAGUCAAUUGAAGGAAAUUCAGGAAAUUCAGGAAAUAUUUGAUAGAAAUAAAACACGCCUAAAAGUACACAAAACCCAGUGGCUUAAUCGCAUUCAUAUUGCCAUAUAUACAACAGAUAAUACAAAUAUCUAAAUAUAUAUAAAUCUAUCCAUAUAUGUAUAUAACAUUAUAUAUAUAUAUAUAUAGCUGUAAUUAAACAAGAUUGGAUUAUAGCUUAUUUUUGACUGGGACUCUUUGAUGUUGUUCACACAGCGGCAUUUCGGCAGCAAAACUUUUUUGUACCUGUUCGCUAAAGGAAAACUUUAAUAAGAUACCUGAGAAUACACUUUACACUGCAACAAAUAUAUAUAAAUAUACAAUCACAAGAGCAAACAAUAAAUAAAAACAAAUAAAAGAAAAACAAACACUUUGCCGUUUCGAGAAACCGUCCAGCACUUAUAUACAUAACUAUAUAUAUGUAUAUAUAUAUAUAUAUAUAUAUAUAAAUAGAGAUCAGA